AGCAGCCGCGGUAAUUCCAGCUCCAAUAGCGUAUAUUAAAGUUGUUGCAGUUAAAAAGCUCGUAGUUGAAUUUCGCAAUCGACGGAUUGGUCGCGCCUUCGGUGUGUACUGGUCUUGCCGGUUUCUCCCUUCUGACGAACCACGAUGUCAUUAAUUUGGUGUCGUGGGGAAUCAGGACUGUUACUUUGAAAAAUUAGAGUGUUUAAAGCAGGCAUUAGCUUGAAUACAUUAGCAUGGAAUAAUGAAAUAGGACGUUUGAUCUUAUUUUGUUGGUUUCUAGGAUCGACGUAAUGAUUAAUAGGGAUAGUUGGGGGCAUUAGUAUUCAAUUGUCAGAGGUGAAAUUCUUGGAUUUAUUGAAGACUAACUACUGCGAAAGCAUUUGCCAAGGAUGUUUACAUUAAUCAAGAACGAAAGUUAGGGGAUCGAAGACGAUCAGAUACCGUCGUAGUCUUAACCAUAAACUAUGCCGACUAGGGAUCGGAUGAUGUUAAUUUUUAAUGUACUCA
RNAcentral lists this ribosomal RNA (507 nucleotides) under uncultured Glomeraceae. RNAcentral's name for it is "SSU rRNA". It matches the Rfam family "Eukaryotic small subunit ribosomal RNA", at positions 569 to 1078 of the family's 1831-position model. Lineage: Eukaryota; Fungi; Glomeromycota; Glomeromycetes; Glomerales; Glomeraceae. The record is from RNAcentral.